Molecule: ribosomal RNA, 486 nt
Filed under: uncultured bacterium
Lineage: Bacteria
Description: partial 16S ribosomal RNA
Rfam family: Bacterial small subunit ribosomal RNA
Source: RNAcentral
GAUGAACGCUGGCGGCGUGCCUAAUACAUGCAAGUCGAACGCUGGAAAUCUAGCUUGCUAGAUUGAAGGAGUGGCGAACGGGUGAGUAAUACAUAAGCAACCUACCCACGAAGACUGGGAUAAUCUCUGGAAACGGGGACUAAUACCGGAUAGGUAAUCGGAAGGCAUCUUCUGAUUAUUAAAGGUUAAAAACACUGGUGGAUGGGCUUAUGGCGCAUUAGUUAGUUGGUGAGGUAACGGCCCACCAAGACGAUGAUGCGUAGCCGGCCUGAGAGGGUGAACAGCCACAUUGGGACUGAGACACGGCCCAGACUCCUACGGGAGGCAGCAGUAGGGAAUUUUCGGCAAUGGGGGAAACCCUGACCGAGCAACGCCGCGUGAGUGAUGACGGCCUUCGGGUUGUAAAGCUCUGUUGUAAGGGAAGAACGGUAGAUAGAGAAUAUCUAAAUGACGGUACCUUACCAGAAAGCCACGGCUAACUACGUG